Molecule: long non-coding RNA, 1744 nt
Organism: Phragmites australis (common reed)
Lineage: Eukaryota; Viridiplantae; Streptophyta; Magnoliopsida; Poales; Poaceae
Exons: 4
Source: RefSeq, a predicted model, not a curated record
CAUUCUCCCCCAUCCCUCACCCCCGGCCGCCACCUCCCCUGGCUGCUGUUGCCCUGCUUCUGCUUGGUGACCAAGGAGCAGAGAAGGGAGAGAGGAGGAAGAGGAAGAGGAAGAGGCCCUGCUGUCCAGGCCGUCUCCUCCCUAUGCCCUGCUACUGGCCUCCUCCCUGAGCCCCUUGCUUGAUGUCCAGCACCGCUCUCAGCUCCCUGCUGCUGCUGCAGAUGUGAAGUAAGAGAGGAGGAAUGAGAGAGGAAGAAGAAAGAAGUAGAUGGGGGAGAGGAAAGUGGAGGGUCACAUACCGUUCUUGCUAGUGUUUUGGGAAGAGAAAUUUGUGGUGCAAAACUGAGGUUUUCCUUGAGCUGACGAGCAUCAGAAUGGGUAGCAGCACGUCCUUUGCACAUUCACCAUCGUCUUUCAUUUUUAUGUUGUGAUGUAUGUUCAGCAACCAUUAGCCGUUUUUGUAUGGUUGUAUCGUCGUGGUGUGGAUGUAUGUUUGAGACAUGUUCCUCCUACUAUGAUGCUUUUUACUGGUAGUGUGAUGUUAUAUAUUUGUCUUCUCUGUAUUGAGUGCCAGUUAAACCUCAAAUUAUAAAGGAGGUGCUGUCAAAUUUUCUAGUUCGGUAGGCUUAUAGGGUAGUUUUGUAGCACUUUGGGCUUCUGGUGGUGUCCGGGGUGUUACAUAAGGAUCAAGGAGAAGAAGCAGAAGACCCCCUUGUCUGGCAGUACUAGUCUACUAAAGAUCAGGCUCGUGACCAGUUUUGCCAAAGAUAAGUAUCUUGGGUGUUUUCUUCUGAUAUCUCCUUGCUAUUCUUUGAUUGCACAUGCUAAUCUUUUCUACUUGUCCAUUUCUAGACCGGUCUCUCAAUUAGAGCCAAUGGCUAAGGAAGAGUGAAGACCUGUGAAUAAUUUUCUUCCAGCACCACCUCCAGCCGACCACACGAGAGAGGUCUCUCAUAUAGAUGGUGAACCUUCAAGCCUUGAAGUGAAAGUAGAGGAGGAAAAGAGGAGGCUACAGAUGCCCCUGGCUCACAUGUUGGGAAUGCUGGUCCCUAGAAGACACUGAGCACAUCUUGGAGUCUAGGUGGCUUCAGACCGGUAACUGUCCAGGAUGAGCCCAUCAAUAUCGUGGGAAGUAUUCCCAGACAUAGGGUGGACGAGAUCGAGAUCUUUUGAGAGCCAUGCAUGAUUGAAUUGCUGACAAAGGAGGGUGACCAAAUCCUUGAUGAGAAGAACAAGUUCCAAAAGGCGAACUAGGAGAAGCUGGAUACGAGGAAAAGAAGACCUCAUUUCUUUACCUUGGUGGUGAGUCAUCAUAUCCUCUUGUCAUACCCAAUACUGAAAACGUCUUCAACACUGAGAGGGUGAACAACGUCUAGUGCAGACAGAUUUCCAAGCUCAUGGAUAUGAAGGAUACCGACCAGGGUGAAGUCAAAUUGUUGGCCGGCCUGAGUGAACUUCAUCAGAGGUAUUUUUAUCUCAAGGUUGAUUGGGUUAAGUAGAAGUUGAAGUUGGACCAAAUUUGAUGAAGAUUUUGAGGACUAUAAUGAACAUGGUGUAUCCUAGGCUGCAUUUCUUCGUCGGUUGCCUGUGGGAUUCGCCCAUAAGCAAUUGAAGCCUUUUGUGUUUCUGUUGCGGUUAUUCUUUUGUUUGACCCUCGAAUGUCCUGCUUGUAAAAUGUUUCAUCGUUAAAUAAUGGAUAUUGCUAUGAUUUUAAUCUAUGGUAUCACUGUAUGUACAAGGUUAA